GGGGUCUUGCUAUAUUGGCCAGGUUGGUCUUGAACUCCUGGGCUCAAGCAAUUCUCCUGCCUCAGCCUCGUGAAGUGCUGGGAUUACAAGCAUCAGCCACUGUGCCAGAUGGAUUGAGUUCUUAAAUUGGGUCCUAUGGCUUGCUCAAGUGUAGCGGUCUGUAUGCAAUAUCCUUGGCUCCCACACCUUCCCUUAGCAGAGGGUUGUGGGUGAGGCAGCUUCCUUAGGAAAAGACAGUGGGUAUGAAGCUGGGGAUCUAAGAGAUUCCUUCCUUAGCAAGGGCUGUGUGGAAUCUCUUCUAGAGAAGUGGCUCCAAGAAUCACAGCUCCAUUCAUUCUCAGAGGUAGCAAUGGCAGCAGGUUCAGAGGCAGGCACCCAGUGUCUAGUUUCUAGUUUUGGGGGAUGCCCCGUGUAAGCUGUGAUGUCCAGUAGGCCCAGUAGCAGCUGGACUGUCUUCAUCAGAUUGCUCUAGGAUGUGAUUUUGAGCUUGGUCCGUAGCUGUAAAAAUCUUCAAUCCUGAUUCUCCUGUCCUUAUUGAAAUUCUGUGAACCACCAAUACUAUUUUAAUCAAGUUCUUUUCUGUUCUGCUUAGCUCAAUUGAUUUCUGUUGUUUGUGAAAACAUUGACUGAUUUAGGGAAUAUGUUAUAGAGGGCUUCCAUGGGUCAAAAGGUAAUUUUGCUGGUCUUGUCUGUGGCCUCCUCACCCCCUGCCCAAUUCCAUGAAUCUAAGUAACUUGGCCAAGUUCACACAGCAGGUGGCAUAGCCAUUACUAAAACCUCCAACACCCUCCAACAGACCUCAUAAUCCUUAGCCCAGUUGAUCUCCCUGUGAAAAAUCCUGGGGACCUCUACCCCUGCCUUGCACUUGGGAGUCAACUCAGUUUCCUUAACUUGUCACGUACACUUGCCUUUAAGUCUUAGUUUCUUGGAUUUAUGGGAUCUCAAAUUCCAUUCAAUGAAUCUAAAAUCCAACUAGUUAGGGGAGAGGUGGUUAGAGCCACCACACAAGUGGGUGAGUUGGCCUUAGGUGGGCACUUGAAUGAAGUAUCCACUGUUAAUGGGAAGACACAGUGUACAGGUAGAGAAACAUGUAGGCCAAUGAGUAGAUUUUAUUGAUGAGAGGAUGUGGAAAUUCUCUUUGGUUCCUAAUAUUUUCUCAGUGAAAUGAAGAGCAAUGUUAUCAGCUGAGAGUGAGGGGGAGUAUUAGAGGUUGAGAAGGAGAAGGAGUGAAAUGGUAUACUAAGGAGAGUGGGAGAGUGAAUUGGUUUAGGGAAAUUAGGGUGGCUAUAUACCACUGAAGGUCCACUUGAGGAUUCUGGCCAUACAUUUAUUCAUUUUUGUUUAUUUAUUUAUUUUGAGACAGGGUAUCACUUUGUUGCCCAGGCUGCAGUACAGUGGUACAAUCAUAGCUCACUGUAGCCUCCAGCCUCUGGGCUCAAGUGAUCCUCCCUGCCUCAACCUCCUGAAUAGCUGGGACUACAGAUGUGUACCAACAUGCCCAGCUAAUUUUUAAAAAUUUCUUGUAGAGAUGAGAUCUCACUAUGUUAACCAGCCUGGCCAACAUAUAGUGAAACCCUGCCUCUCAAAAAAAAAAAAAAAAAAAAAAA
RNAcentral lists this long non-coding RNA (1607 nucleotides) under Macaca fascicularis (crab-eating macaque). RNAcentral's name for it is "lncRNA (ENSMFAG00000061413.1)". Lineage: Eukaryota; Metazoa; Chordata; Mammalia; Primates; Cercopithecidae. The record is from RNAcentral.